CAGGGUGUAGCGCAGUCUGGUAGCGUGGCCGGUUUGGAGCCGGGCGGUCGUAGGUUCAAAUCCUACCAUCCUGACCA
Molecule: transfer RNA, 77 nt
Filed under: Xanthomonas phage XacN1
Lineage: Duplodnaviria; Heunggongvirae; Uroviricota; Caudoviricetes
Description: tRNA-Pro
Rfam family: tRNA
About the family: Transfer RNA (tRNA) molecules are approximately 80 nucleotides in length. Their secondary structure includes four short double-helical elements and three loops (D, anti-codon, and T loops). Further hydrogen bonds mediate the characteristic L-shaped molecular structure. tRNAs have two regions of fundamental functional importance: the anti-codon, which is responsible for specific mRNA codon recognition, and the 3' end, to which the tRNAs corresponding amino acid is attached (by aminoacyl-tRNA synthetases). tRNAs cope with the degeneracy of the genetic code in two manners: having more than one tRNA (with a specific anti-codon) for a particular amino acid; and 'wobble' base-pairing, i.e. permitting non-standard base-pairing at the 3rd anti-codon position.
Source: RNAcentral